This 406-nucleotide ribosomal RNA is filed under the name uncultured bacterium. RNAcentral's name for it is "partial 16S ribosomal RNA". It matches the Rfam family "Bacterial small subunit ribosomal RNA", at positions 30 to 526 of the family's 1533-position model. The record is from RNAcentral.
AUUGAACGCUGGCGGCAGGCCUAACACAUGCAAGUCGAACGAGUGGCGGACGGGUGAGUAAUGUCUGGGAACCUGCCCGAUGGAGGGGGAUAACUACUGGAAACGGUAGCUACUCCCGCAUACCAUCGGAUGUGCCCAGAUGGGAUUAGCUAGUAGGUGGGGUAACGGCUCACCUAGGCGACGAUCCCUAGCUGGUCUGAGAGUCUGACCAGGCACACUGGAACUGAGACACGGUCCAGACUCCUACGGGAGGCAGCAGUGGGGAAUAUUGCACAAUGGGCGCAAGCCUGAUGCAGCCAUGCCGCGUGUAUGAAGAAGGCCUUCGGGUUGUAAAGUACUUUCAGCGAGGAGGCGUUACUCGCAGAAGAAGCACCGGCUAACUCCGUGCCAGCCGCCGCGGUAAUUC